CAUACACACUGGAUUCAGGUCUACAUGUGGUGAUAAUUCAUUCAAUACCAAUAAAGGGUGCAUUUCCAGUGCUAAAGCACAGAAAGGACACCUUUGAACAGUGAAGGCAAGCCACAGGCCAGAUUUCUGCAGGGAUUUUUGAAGAGGAAAGGGCACAAAUCAAAAAGCAUUGAAAACACUAUUUGACUGACAGACUGUUUUUAACUAACCCAUGAUGAUGAUGGUGAACUGGAAUGAAGAAUGAGAAAGAAUACUAAACUGUCAGUGCCCGUGUCUACGAGACUGGUGAGAACAGCUCUUCUUAUCUGUUAAAAUUGGUGGAUCUGGCAAAACAAAAACUGAAACAAAGGCUCUCCCAAAUCCCAUCCCAAUAACCUGUCAGUGCUCCCUGGAGCAGCAUUGGUGGUUUCUGACCCUGCACUGGAAUCACUCUGCUGGGAUGUUUUCUGCUCAGUGCUGGGGCCAGUUUUGCUUCCUGAACUUCAAGGGCGACAUCCUAGUUAUACAGAAAAGAAAAUGGCCUUGUUGUGAAUCC
Molecule: long non-coding RNA, 535 nt
Organism: Manacus vitellinus (golden-collared manakin)
Lineage: Eukaryota; Metazoa; Chordata; Aves; Passeriformes; Pipridae
Exons: 3
Source: RefSeq, a predicted model, not a curated record